RNAcentral lists this long non-coding RNA (1203 nucleotides) under Anas platyrhynchos platyrhynchos (common mallard). RNAcentral's name for it is "lncRNA (ENSAPLG00000017323.1)". The record is from RNAcentral. Lineage: Eukaryota; Metazoa; Chordata; Aves; Anseriformes; Anatidae.
UCCCCACCUACCCGAAACCUUUUUACGUGCAGCCUGCAGUGCCCUCGGAGAGGCAGAACGGGAUUUUCAGGAGCGCGGGGGUUCCCCCAGCUCCGCACAGCUCGUUUUUCCUCCUGCUAAAAAUGCUGCUCGCUUGUGCACCUGGGAGGAGCCGCACGCUUUGCUCACACCCGGACAGCCACCACCAGACGAGCUCCUGCCCUGCAGCCCUCUUUUGGGGCUCACCCCCUGUCCUGCAGGGCCUGCCUGAUCCCCAUCGUGUCCCCAAGGUCCAGUUGGCACAGCCCCUGGGUGUGCUGGGGGCUCUGCAGGGCUGGGGACAUCCCCCCGGCAGUGGCUGCAGGUCCCUUGAGCGCCGUGCCAGGUUUUGUUGCCUGCAAACUUGUGCGUGGGCUGCGGCUCUGCUGCCCUGGCAAUGUGGGACCAGCAUCUGCUGACCAAGCGCCGAGGGUUUGGAGCUGAUAUCUGAGAGCUUUGGGGGCUGAGGGCACGGUGCUGGGGCUGUGCUCGCCACGAAACGCAGCUGUGGGGUGUGAGCAUUGCUGUGGCUGUGGGUGCCAAGGGCUUGGAGAGCAAACAUGGGACGGAGCGGGCUGGGAGCAAGAGGAAAAGAUGGCGAGGAAGACGAGGGCUCCUGGCUCCCGGCUCGCAGCGCAGACUGUGUGGAUGGCCAGCCUCCCGAAUCCAAAAUCAGGAGCUUGUAAGUUCACUCCCGUCUCAGGCGCUGGUGGGGACGGGUGGCUCUGCUGGCAGGGAGCAUUUUUUGGGCUCAGCCGUGGACCCAACACCAGCCGAGCUCGGUGCCUGCCCUGGGGUGCAGCCGCAGAGCGGGGCUGCUUGGUUUUGGGGGAUUUCUCUUUCCCUGUGCAGACACAAACCCUGCUGCCUUUUGGGGGCUGCCACACGCUCAGGGUGCUCGCAGCCAGGCACACAGAAGGCCGGCUGGGAUCCGGCUGCUUCCCUGGGAAGCUCUCCUCCCCCACACCCCUUAUCUGCUCUCUCUCUGCAGCUUUGGGCUGUGGUAUCAGGGCAGCAGCAACGACCCCCCCGCUGCCAGCUGCUCCGGAGCCUGGGAAGUCAUCGAGUCACCCGAAACGCAGCCGGAGGCGGUGGGAGAGGACGGGCAGGCGGGCAGCCCGCACACAGCAUCGCCGCCCCUCUGACCCCGCUGGAGCCGACACCCCCAGGAGCUGCGUGGGCACA